This 253-nucleotide ribosomal RNA is filed under the name uncultured bacterium. RNAcentral describes it as "partial 16S ribosomal RNA". It matches the Rfam family "Bacterial small subunit ribosomal RNA", at positions 524 to 776 of the family's 1533-position model. The record is from RNAcentral.
GACAGAGGUGCCAAGCGUUAGGCGGAAUCACUGGGCUUAAAGCGUGUGUAGGCGGAUCGUUAAGUACCUUGUGAAAUCCCACGGCUCAACCGUGGAACUGCUCGGUAUACUGGCGGUCUUGAGCCACCUAGGGGCAGCUGGAACAAGCGGUGGAGCGGUGAAAUGCGUAGAGAUCGGGAGGAACACCAGCGGCGAAGGCGGCGACCUGGACAAGUACUGACACUCAACUACGAAAGCGUGGGGAGCAAACAGG